Molecule: ribosomal RNA, 1209 nt
Filed under: Kocuria flava
Lineage: Bacteria; Bacillati; Actinomycetota; Actinomycetes; Micrococcales; Micrococcaceae
Description: bacterial SSU rRNA
Rfam family: Bacterial small subunit ribosomal RNA
Source: RNAcentral
GUUCUACUGGUUUUGGAUGGGCUCACGGCCUAUCAGCUUGUUGGUGGGGUAAUGGCUCACCAAGGCGACGACGGGUAGCCGGCCUGAGAGGGUGACCGGCCACACUGGGACUGAGACACGGCCCAGACUCCUACGGGAGGCAGCAGUGGGGAAUAUUGCACAAUGGGCGGAAGCCUGAUGCAGCGACGCCGCGUGAGGGAUGACGGCCUUCGGGUUGUAAACCUCUUUCAGCAGGGAAGAAGCCACAAGUGACGGUACCUGCAGAAGAAGCGCCGGCUAACUACGUGCCAGCAGCCGCGGUAAUACGUAGGGCGCAAGCGUUGUCCGGAAUUAUUGGGCGUAAAGAGCUCGUAGGCGGUUUGUCGCGUCUGCUGUGAAAGCCCGGGGCUCAACCCCGGGUCUGCAGUGGGUACGGGCAGACUAGAGUGCAGUAGGGGAGACUGGAAUUCCUGGUGUAGCGGUGAAAUGCGCAGAUAUCAGGAGGAACACCGAUGGCGAAGGCAGGUCUCUGGGCUGUUACUGACGCUGAGGAGCGAAAGCAUGGGGAGCGAACAGGAUUAGAUACCCUGGUAGUCCAUGCCGUAAACGUUGGGCACUAGGUGUGGGGGACAUUCCACGUUCUCCGCGCCGUAGCUAACGCAUUAAGUGCCCCGCCUGGGGAGUACGGCCGCAAGGCUAAAACUCAAAGGAAUUGACGGGGGCCCGCACAAGCGGCGGAGCAUGCGGAUUAAUUCGAUGCAACGCGAAGAACCUUACCAAGGCUUGACAUUCACCGGACCGCACUGGAGACAGUGCUUCCCUUCGGGGUCGGUGGACAGGUGGUGCAUGGUUGUCGUCAGCUCGUGUCGUGAGAUGUUGGGUUAAGUCCCGCAACGAGCGCAACCCUCGUUCUAUGUUGCCAGCACGUGAUGGUGGGGACUCAUAGGAGACUGCCGGGGUCAACUCGGAGGAAGGUGGGGAUGACGUCAAAUCAUCAUGCCCCUUAUGUCUUGGGCUUCACGCAUGCUACAAUGGCCGGUACAAAGGGUUGCGAUACUGUGAGGUGGAGCUAAUCCCAAAAAGCCGGUCUCAGUUCGGAUUGAGGUCUGCAACUCGACCUCAUGAAGUCGGAGUCGCUAGUAAUCGCAGAUCAGCAACGCUGCGGUGAAUACGUUCCCGGGCCUUGUACACACCGCCCGUCAAGUCACGAAAGUUGGUAACACCCGAAGC